GACGAACGCUGGCGGCGUGCUUAACACAUGCAAGUCGAACGGAAAGGCCCUGCUUUUGUGGGGUGCUCGAGUGGCGAACGGGUGAGUAACACGUGAGUAACCUGCCCUUGACUUUGGGAUAACUUCAGGAAACUGGGGCUAAUACCGGAUAUGAGCUCCUGCUGCAUGGUGGGGGUUGGAAAGUUUCGGCGGUUGGGGAUGGACUCGCGGCUUAUCAGCUUGUUGGUGGGGUAGUGGCUUACCAAGGCUUUGAAGGGUAGCCGGCCUGAGAGGGUGACCGGCGACAUUGGGACUGAGAUACGGCCCAGACUCCUACGGGAGGCAGCAGUGGGGAAUAUGGCACAAUGGGCGGAAGCCUGAUGCAGAAACGCCGCGUGCGGGAUGACGGCCUUCGGGUUGUAAACCGCUUUCGCCUGUGACGAAGAGUGAGUGACGGUAAUGGGUAAAGAAGCACCGGCUAACUACGUG
RNAcentral lists this ribosomal RNA (468 nucleotides) under uncultured bacterium. RNAcentral describes it as "partial 16S ribosomal RNA". It matches the Rfam family "Bacterial small subunit ribosomal RNA", at positions 28 to 507 of the family's 1533-position model. The record is from RNAcentral.